Molecule: non-coding RNA, 272 nt
Organism: Chrysemys picta bellii (western painted turtle)
Lineage: Eukaryota; Metazoa; Chordata; Testudines; Emydidae
Source: RefSeq, a predicted model, not a curated record
UCCUUCCUUGAGUCUGUGGUGUGUACUGGGAUGCGAAAGGCUCUAGGUGUCAGAUGCCUCCCUUCAUUCUUCAGGCUGCAAGCUUCCAGCCUAUGACGUCGGGAUUUAAAGUGCCAAGAAAGAGAGAGGAACCCUCCCACCCCAAGUGCCACCCGUGAGAGUAAUGGAAGAGCUGUCAACCCAUGCCCAGGCACAUAUAAACAGGGAGCUCAGAAGUGAAGAGAAACAGGUAAGAGAAGUGAAACCAUGGUUCAUCCUCCACCUAAAAACUG